RNAcentral lists this ribosomal RNA (19 nucleotides) under fungal endophyte sp. AP793. RNAcentral describes it as "partial 28S ribosomal RNA". The record is from RNAcentral. Lineage: Eukaryota; Fungi.
GGUUGCGGGGUCGGAUCAU